GCCUGAUCCAGCAUGCCGCGUGUGUGAUGAAGGCCUUCGGGUUGUAAAGCUCUUUUGUCCGGAAAGAAAUUGACUUGGCUAAUACCUGGGGGGGAUGACGGUUCCGGGAGAAUAACCACCGGCUAACUACGGGGGCUCAGCCGCGGCAGUAUUACUGGUGCUAAAGGUAAUCGAAAUUACUGGGCGUAUAGCGUGCGCAAGCCGGUGUCUAAGACUGAUGUGUGAUCCCCGUGCUGAACCUGUGAAUUGCAUUGGAGACUGGUGGGCUUGAGUGUGUAAAAGGGGGGUUCAAUUACAUUUGGAAGAAUGCCAUGGGUAAAGGCGUCUAACAGGACCGAUGGUGAAGGCGGCCCCCUGGAGCUUGACUGACGCUCAUGAUUAAAUACCCUGGGAGCAAACACGAUUAAAUACCCUGGUAAUCCGUCCCCUAGACGAUGUCUCUAGUUGUUGGGUCUUUUUUCCUUAUUAACGCUGGGGACACGGGCUUUGACCUCCUGUGGAAUACAGUGGCGGGAUUAAAACUCUAUGAAUUGUCGGGGAG
This 541-nucleotide ribosomal RNA is filed under the name uncultured Ralstonia sp. Its description in RNAcentral is "bacterial SSU rRNA". It matches the Rfam family "Bacterial small subunit ribosomal RNA", at positions 381 to 920 of the family's 1533-position model. Lineage: Bacteria; Pseudomonadati; Pseudomonadota; Betaproteobacteria; Burkholderiales; Burkholderiaceae. The record is from RNAcentral.